This 271-nucleotide long non-coding RNA is filed under the name Manihot esculenta (cassava). RNAcentral describes it as "long non-coding RNA (MESC_LNC008774)". The record is from RNAcentral. Lineage: Eukaryota; Viridiplantae; Streptophyta; Magnoliopsida; Malpighiales; Euphorbiaceae.
CUCCGCCUAGACUCCUCAAUCAAGCCGGCCCAAACCUCUCGGCCCAGUAAUCAGGCCCUCACCAGGCUCAACUUCAGCCCUACCAUUCAACCCAGCCCGGAAAGGGGAAAAUGACCAAGAUGCCCCGCUGGUAGGUCCUUCCGCAUGUGUAUCAGAGGAGAAUCAUACGUAUCAGAGGAGAAUUAAUGGCCGUUACGCAUGGAGCAGGCGCCUGACACAUCCGUACAUACGGAGCUAGGCGACAGAAGACAGCUAGCAUUGUGACAGAGAG